Molecule: ribosomal RNA, 253 nt
Filed under: uncultured bacterium
Lineage: Bacteria
Description: partial 16S ribosomal RNA
Rfam family: Bacterial small subunit ribosomal RNA
Source: RNAcentral
UACGGGGGGGGCAAGCGUUGUUCGGAAUUACUGGGCGUAAAGGGCUCGUAGGCGGCCAACUAAGUCAGACGUGAAAUCCCUCGGCUUAACCGGGGAACUGCGUCUGAUACUGGAUGGCUUGAGGUUGGGAGAGGGAUGCGGAAUUCCAGGUGUAGCGGUGAAAUGCGCAGAUAUCAGGAGGAACACCGGUGGCGAAGGCGGGUCUCUGGGCCGAUAUUGACGCUGAGGAGCGAAAGCGUGGGGAGCGAACAGG